UAAAGACUCCCAAUGUAUCUCAACUAAGCAAUAUUAACAUUUAGAGUCAGAAAACUCUUUGUUGAGAGGGAAUGUGCAGUGUCUUACAGUAUGCUUAGCUGCAACUCUAUGAUUCACCACUGGAUGCCUUUACCUAUCUCAGCAGAAAGGGCACCAAAAAUGUUUCCAGACAUUGCCAAAUGUAUCUGAAACCUUGACAUUGCUCCAAAAGAGAUCCACUAUGCAAUGAACCCCUAAAUAAUUUUGUUUAGAGAAAAAAAUCAAAAGUUGAUAAAAAUUUCAUAACUGUAUUUUAAAUAAAUAAUGAAUUUUGGACAAAACUUCAAAAUUUGGAAAAAUAAUAUAAUUACAAAUAUCAUCUUCCAUGAAUAUUUUCACAACCACUCCUGCCACCAGGCAUGUGGACACAAAGUAAAAUAUGCAUCGUUUUGCACACAGGAGAAUGUAUAGUAUACACACUCCUUUAAUCUCCUAUCACAUAGAUAUUAUGGAUAUUUUUAUGUCAGCAAAUAUUGGUGUAUUUAAAUAAUUAAUUUGAAUACCUACAUAAGAUUCCUUUGAAUGUAAUCAUUCAGGGUCCUAUCCUAGGCUAGGGAAGUUCAAAAUUUUUCACUACUAUAAAUAGUGUUAUAAUUGUUAGCAUCUUUGAAUAUACAUUUUGGAACAGCAUGAAUAUGACACUGAAUCUUACUCAAUGUUGGUGACAUAUCGAGACUAUUUCAAGGACAUAGAACUUUAUAGAAUGAACUAG
RNAcentral lists this long non-coding RNA (751 nucleotides) under Marmota monax (woodchuck). The record is from RNAcentral. Lineage: Eukaryota; Metazoa; Chordata; Mammalia; Rodentia; Sciuridae.